UGUAACUUUCACUACAGAUUCACAAUCCAAAAAUCCAUUGAUAUCAGUGGAGAGACUCCCAUUGUAAGCCCCACCCCAGUCUAGAACCCAGGCCUGCCAGAAAGCUGGCAUCUCCAUGCCACCUCCCAGCAGCAGCUGUAACAAGCUUGUGCUCCACUGCUUAUGACCCACUGGGGACACAGACUAUGGGAAAUCCCACCUCAAGGGGUUUGACAGGCAGCAGCCAUAUGGCUCCCCAUCCUACAUAAACGUAAGGGGUGUUCCAGGAAAUAUCCAGGCAACAGUGCAGACUUCCUGUAGCUGCCAUAACCAUUUCUACUCUUGAACUCCUGGCUUUGACCUUGGCUUGAUUUGAACUUCACCUCCUGCCCUGGAUCCUGGAACCUGACUCACUCUGACCCUUGGCAUCAACCCUGUCUUGGAACCUGACUAUGAACUCCACUGCUACUUCCGGCCUUAGGGUUGACCCUGCUCUGAUCCUUGGUCCCAACUGUCCUUGUUAGAAUCCUGACACCCAUUGAUUUCAAGGAGUUUUGGAUUAGGUGCCAAGUGCCUAAAUUUUUUUUUUUUUUGCAUGUGUGUGUGAAAAAGGAGGCUAGUUCUGGACAGGUCAAUAUAUCACUGGUCACAAGAUCUCAAAUGGAAGAAAUCCAGUUGGACGCUGCAGGGUGAUAACAGUUGAUAUAUACCAGCAAUGACACUAAGUCCUGGGCUAAGAGUGGAAGAAUUGUGUGAUCUCCCCCUGGACAGGCAAGGGCAAGAGGCCUGACACCUGAGGGAGUGCGCUAUACCACAGCCGUGUGUGAUCUUGGACCUGUCACUUCACCCUUCUAGGCCUCGUCUGUGAAAUUGGAACAAUAAGAGAGGGAUGUUGUGAGGAUUUACUCACUGAUAUUUGUAAGAUCAAUUACAUGGAAUAAAGUAUGUAUGGGAACGUGAUGACAAUAGCUAAUGAUGCAAAACUGGAGGCUUUCAUUCAAUACAAAAGAGAAUUACAAUCAAAUUCAGAAUGAUGCAGAUAAGGUGGGAGUAUGGGAAGAUUAGUGCAAUGUAGACAAAUGCAGAGCAACAAGGCAAGAGACAAAAAAAAGACGUACAUCAUCAAACAUUGAGCAAGAAAGGGAUCUGGAGUUCUCAUGGAUAAACGUUCUCAGUCUUCAUUGAAUUAACUGGUAGCAGCAAAAAAAACAAACAGAAUUCUGG
Long non-coding RNA from Mauremys reevesii (Reeves's turtle), 1203 nucleotides. RefSeq lists it as uncharacterized. The transcript has 4 exons. The record is from RefSeq and is a predicted model, not a curated record. Lineage: Eukaryota; Metazoa; Chordata; Testudines; Geoemydidae.